UGGGGGAUAACUUCCGGAAACGGGCGCUAAUACCGCACACAUCCUGAGGGAGAAAGUGGGGGAUCUACGGACCUCACUCUAUCCAAUGAGCCUAGGUCGGAUUAACUAGUUGGUGGGGUAAAGGCCUACCAAGGCGACCAUCCAUAACUGGUCUGAGAGGAUGAUCAAUCACACUGGAACUGAGACACAGUCCAGACUCCUACCGGAGGCAGGAAUGGGGAAUAUAGGACAAUGGGCGAAAGCCUGAUCCAGCCAUGCCUCGUGUGUGAAGAAGGUCUGCGGAUUGUAAAGCACUUUAUUUUGGGAGGAAGGGCAGUAAGUUAAUACCUUGCUGUUUUGACGUUACCAACAGAAUAAGCACCGGCUAACUUCGUGCCAGCCGCCGCGGUAAUACAAAGGGUGCAAGCGUUAAUCGGAAUUACUGGGCGUAAAGCGCGCGUAGGUGGUUCAGCAAGUUGGAUGUGAAAUCCCCGGGCUCAACCUGGGAACUGCAUCCAAAACUACUGAGCUAGAGUACGGUAGAGGGUGGGGGGAAUUUCCUGUGUAGCGGUGAAAUGCGUGCGAUAUAGGAUGGAACACCACUGGCGACGCGACCACCCCCCACUGAUACUGACCGCUGAUGUGCGAAAGCGUGGGGAGCAAACAAGAUGAUAUACCCCGGUGGUCCACGCCGUCACGAUGUCGACUAUCCGUUGGUAUCCUUGAGAUCUUAGUGGCCGCAGCUGAUGAGAUGAGUCGACCGCCCGGGGGAGUACGUGCCGCAGCGUUGAUACUCACUAUGAUUUGACGGCGGCCCGCACGCAGCAGUGGAGCAUGUGGUUGUAUUUCGUAGCAGCGCCGAGAACCAUCACUCUGGCUCGUGACGUGCAUCAGCACUAUCCCUCAGAUGAUUGUGCUGUC
Molecule: ribosomal RNA, 900 nt
Filed under: Pseudomonas fluorescens
Lineage: Bacteria; Pseudomonadati; Pseudomonadota; Gammaproteobacteria; Pseudomonadales; Pseudomonadaceae
Description: bacterial SSU rRNA
Rfam family: Bacterial small subunit ribosomal RNA
Source: RNAcentral